UACGUAGGGGGCAAGCGUUGUCCGGAAUCAUUGGGCGUAAAGCGCGUGUAGGCGGCCCGAUAAGCCUGCUGUGAAAGUCCAGGGCUCAACCCUGGGAUGCCGGUGGAUACUGUCGAGCUCGAGUCCGGAAGAGGCGAGUGGAAUUCCUGGUGUAGCGGUGAAAUGCGCAGAUAUCAGGAGGAACACCAAUGGCGAAGGCAGCUCGCUGGGACGGUACUGACGCUGAGACGCGAAAGCGUGGGGAGCAAACAGG
Molecule: ribosomal RNA, 253 nt
Filed under: uncultured bacterium
Lineage: Bacteria
Description: partial 16S ribosomal RNA
Rfam family: Bacterial small subunit ribosomal RNA
Source: RNAcentral